RNAcentral lists this ribosomal RNA (484 nucleotides) under Cladosporium sp. 942 AI-2013. Its description in RNAcentral is "eukaryotic LSU rRNA". The stretch from base 164 to 317 matches the Rfam family "5.8S ribosomal RNA". The record is from RNAcentral. Lineage: Eukaryota; Fungi; Ascomycota; Dothideomycetes; Cladosporiales; Cladosporiaceae.
AUCAUUACAAGUGACCCCGGUCUAACCACCGGGAUGUUCAUAACCCUUUGUUGUCCGACUCUGUUGCCUCCGGGGCGACCCUGCCUUCGGGCGGGGGCUCCGGGUGGACACUUCAAACUCUUGCGUAACUUUGCAGUCUGAGUAAACUUAAUUAAUAAAUUAAAACUUUUAACAACGGAUCUCUUGGUUCUGGCAUCGAUGAAGAACGCAGCGAAAUGCGAUAAGUAAUGUGAAUUGCAGAAUUCAGUGAAUCAUCGAAUCUUUGAACGCACAUUGCGCCCCCUGGUAUUCCGGGGGGCAUGCCUGUUCGAGCGUCAUUUCACCACUCAAGCCUCGCUUGGUAUUGGGCAACGCGGUCCGCCGCGUGCCUCAAAUCGACCGGCUGGGUCUUCUGUCCCCUAAGCGUUGUGGAAACUAUUCGCUAAAGGGUGUUCGGGAGGCUACGCCGUAAAACAACCCCAUUUCUAAGGUUGACCUCGGAUCA